RNAcentral lists this non-coding RNA (233 nucleotides) under Caldanaerobacter subterraneus subsp. tengcongensis. Its description in RNAcentral is "Thermoanaerobacter tengcongensis T-box sequence". It matches the Rfam family "T-box leader". From Rfam's summary of the family: Uncharged tRNA acts as the effector for transcription antitermination of genes in the T-box leader family. T-boxes are found upstream of many aminoacyl-tRNA synthetase genes and some amino acid biosynthetic genes usually in Gram-positive bacteria. The record is from RNAcentral. Lineage: Bacteria; Bacillati; Bacillota; Clostridia; Thermoanaerobacterales; Thermoanaerobacteraceae.
GAAAAGGCGAUGAAGGAAAGAGUAGGAAGACUAGAACUUUUACAGAGAGUCGGGCAAGGUGAGAGCCGAUAAAGUUCUAGCUUCUGAAGAUGGCUCCGGAGCCGUACUGUCGAAGGCUAGUAGGCUUUACCGGGGACUCCCGUUACAGAGUAGGAGUGUGUUUGCACUCUGUGAGGCAUGAGCCGCGAGGUUCAUGCGAAGAAGGGUGGUACCGCGAAAAUCUCGCCCCUUGC